AUUGAACGCUGGCGGCAGGCCUAGCACACGCAAGUCGAGCGGAUGAAGGGAGCUUGCUCCUGGAUUCAGCGGCGGACGGGUGAGUAAUGCCUAGGAAUCUGCCUGGUAGUGGGGGAUAACGUCCGGAAACGGGCGCUAAUACCGCAUACGUCCUGAGGGAGAAAGUGGGGGAUCUUCGGACCUCACGCUAUCAGAUGAGCCUAGGUCGGAUUAGCUAGUUGGUGGGGUAAAGGCCUACCAAGGCGACGAUCCGUAACUGGUCUGAGAGGAUGAUCAGUCACACUGGAACUGAGACACGGUCCAGACUCCUACGGGAGGCAGCAGUGGGGAAUAUUGGACAAUGGGCGAAAGCCUGAUCCAGCCAUGCCGCGUGUGUGAAGAAGGUCUUCGGAUUGUAAAGCACUUUAAGUUGGGAGGAAGGGCAGUAAGUUAAUACCUUGCUGUUUUGACGUUACCAACAGAAUAAGCACCGGCUAACUUCGUG
This 484-nucleotide ribosomal RNA is filed under the name uncultured bacterium. Its description in RNAcentral is "partial 16S ribosomal RNA". It matches the Rfam family "Bacterial small subunit ribosomal RNA", at positions 30 to 507 of the family's 1533-position model. The record is from RNAcentral.